Molecule: long non-coding RNA, 767 nt
Organism: Phascolarctos cinereus (koala)
Lineage: Eukaryota; Metazoa; Chordata; Mammalia; Diprotodontia; Phascolarctidae
Source: RefSeq, a predicted model, not a curated record
UAUAAAAGGUGUCCCUGCCUCUGGCUCCUCACCCGUCCUGGUUCUUCAGCAGAGAGAUCCUGCCCGUGUCUGUGAUCAGGGUCUACUAAACUCACCCAGACAUGUCCUACCAGCAAAACCAGAAGCAGUACCAGCCCCCUCCCAAAUGCCAGACCCCCAAGUACCCUCCCCAGACUCCAUGCUCUGCUCCUGUGUCUUCUGGCUGGGGCGCCAGCUCUGGAGGAUGGGGUAGCUUGGGAGGAUGUGGUACCUCAGGAGGAUGGGGUAGCUCUGGAGGAUGCAGUAGCUCUGGAGGAUGGGGUAGCCUUGGAGGAUGCGGUACCUCAGGAGGAUGGGGUAGCUCUAGAGGAUGCGGUUCCUCAGGAGGAUGGGGAAGAUUUGGAGGAUGGGGUAACUUUGGCUCUGGAGGUGGCUGCUCUCUCUUUUCUCAUAAUUGGAGAACCCCUAGAUGCAGGGGCCUGAGCCCUGGCAGCUGUGACAGUGGCUGUGGCCGCAGACAGCAGUCUGGGGGCUGUGGUGGUGGCUCUGGGGGCUGUUACUGACCUGCUGCCCUUGGCUGAGGAGUAGAAUUUCAGGAAUCAAGAGACCACUGCCCAGCCUCUUCCAUUCCCAUCCCUCCUCCUAAGCUGCUGAGAUGUCCUUUGGGAACAGAGACACCCCAGGAUUAUCAAUUCAUCUCCUCUCAAAUUCCCCAGAUUUCAGAGUUGAAUCGAACCUUCUCUGCCUCAUUUGUCUAAUGCAACAAUAAAGCUCUAUCUGGUCAAAGA